Ictidomys tridecemlineatus (thirteen-lined ground squirrel) is the source of this 1028-nucleotide long non-coding RNA. RefSeq lists it as uncharacterized. The record is from RefSeq and is a predicted model, not a curated record. Lineage: Eukaryota; Metazoa; Chordata; Mammalia; Rodentia; Sciuridae.
GUGCAAAUAAGAUACUUUGGUCCUGAUACCAGACACCAGAGUGCUGAAGAUGGUGUGAAGUGAUGGCUGUUCACAGAUCUCCUGCAUCCAACUCUACAGAUGAGAAAACGGAUUUUUAAAAAUAGUGAAAGUCACUUGUCCACACAUCUGUUGAGUGAUGAAUCUGAAGCCCCACUUCCCUGAUGCAAAGUCAAUGCCCUGAGAGACCCACCAAAUGGAGAAGACCACCCAAGGCCUCAGGAACACAAUCUUGAGAAAGUGGGCUCCAGCUGAACACCAUGUUUCUUGGAUUAAUCACUUUCAUCCACGUUUGGGUUUGCAGCCCCCCAGUAUCAUGUGUGUAUUGUGGGUGCUCACUCUCCAGCCCCACUCCCAUGCCCAAAGCCUCAUGCCAAAACCUGACACUCGUAAAGAGAAAAGGCCUGCGUAGUGAGUCACAUGAAGCCUGGCUGAGGAGUAUGGAACUCUGGACCCUCCUCCACAUGCUAGGAAUGCCAGCUUCCUGGUCUCACCCGGAGUAGUGCAGCCAACAUCUGGGAAGCAUAAAAAUUUUGGAGCUCUUGUUUGAGAUAUUUCCUGCUGUGUUCUUGGCUCAUCUGAACAGAGAAUUUUUAACUCAUAUCUGAAAACCUGUUUUGGUUGAAUAUUUGCCUUUUCCCUCUAUGGUGGCCUUGCUAGUGAUACUCUUAGACAAAAGGCCUCUUUAUAUAUUUUUAUGGAAUAUUACAUCUGCCCUUUACUUCAUCUUAGGACUACAGUCACUUAUGAUACCUCUCCCCCAACAAAAACACACUUAACCAAAUUUACAUCUCCAUUAAUAGAGUAUCAACAACUUUGAGAGAAGGCAGAUAAAAACCAUAAUAUGUAGGAAUGCAUCAAUUUUAUAACAAUACAUUUAUAAGAUAGAAAUAAAAACACAUGGCCAUUAAUAGUUUUUCCUGAUGUCCAUAAAAAACACAGGGAGGGGAGGACCAACCCCUUCUGCUGAGAGCAGACAGGCACAAUGGGCAGAGCUUGACUACAAACCU